Podarcis lilfordi (Lilford's wall lizard) is the source of this 77-nucleotide non-coding RNA. The record is from the annotation of a GenBank genome assembly. Lineage: Eukaryota; Metazoa; Chordata; Lepidosauria; Squamata; Lacertidae.
UGGUUCCAAAGUGUACCCUCACAGAAGUAAAAACAGGGUUAAAAUGUUUACUUCUGUGAGGGUACACUUUGGAACCA